This is a small nuclear RNA of Heterocephalus glaber (naked mole-rat), 201 nucleotides long. Its record names the gene U2. It matches the Rfam family "U2 spliceosomal RNA". Rfam says of the family: U2 is a small nuclear RNA (snRNA) component of the spliceosome (involved in pre-mRNA splicing). Complementary binding between U2 snRNA (in an area lying towards the 5' end but 3' to hairpin I) and the branchpoint sequence (BPS) of the intron results the bulging out of an unpaired adenosine, on the BPS, which initiates a nucleophilic attack at the intronic 5' splice site, thus starting the first of two transesterification reactions that mediate splicing. The record is from Ensembl. NCBI's taxonomy places the organism in Eukaryota, Metazoa, Chordata, Mammalia, Rodentia, Bathyergidae.
AUCGCUUCUCGGCCUUUUGGCUAAGAUCAAGUGUAGUAUCAGAAACCAAACAAACCCCAAACAAGAUGAAAUCCAUAACGAAAAACACAGUACUAAAACUGUCAUUUACCAAAGAUAAAAGGAUGCAUAAGAAAAGCAGUCAGAAAUUUUUGUAAAAAUUUUUGAGCUCACUGGGGAUUUAGCUCAGUGGUUUGACCGCCU